ACCUCCUUUAGCGGUGUUGUCUCGUUCAGCGGAACGAAUGCGUGAAUUUUGGAAGCGAAAGAGAAGCCUACGUCACGUCACUGUUUCCUCGGUCGUUCACAAAGCGAGCGAUAUUCGUCCUUUUACUCAAGUUGAGAUACUCGGUGAGAGUUACCUUGCGCUAUUAGAUAGCGGAGCCAAUAAAAGCGUCAUCGGAGGAAAAUUAGCCGAUAAAAUUCUCUCGAAAAAUCUUCUGACAAACAAAAUGAAAGGCGUUGUUCGUACUGCUGACGGUCAGACUCAGAUGGUAGCUGGUUUUAUUAAAGUUCCUCUGAAUUACAAUUCAAUACACUCGGACUUUGAAUUUCUAAUAGUUUCAUCUAUCCAACAGGAUAUAAUAUGUGGAAUGGACUUUUGGAAAAGAUUUGGCAUUUCUAUCGUUCCAUCAUCAUCAUGGACAGUAAGCGAGUUAUCCUAUCAAUCCGAGCACGAGUUGCUCAAGUUAGCCUUGUCGAUUUCUCAAAAGAAGCAGUUACAGCACGUGAUCGAAUUGUUUCCGUCAUUCGAAAAGAAUGGACUGGGGUUAACGACCCUAAUAGAGCACCACAUUGAUACGGCUAACAGCAAGCCAGUUAAGCAAAGAUUUUACCCUUUGUCUCCAGCAAAGGAGACCCUUUUAUGUGCAGAGAUUGAUCGCAUGUUGAGUAUGGACGUUAUUGAAGAAGCUCCGAGCUCCCCGUGGUCAUCUCCUGUCACACUGCACAUCAAACCUGGUAAGGUGCGACUUUGUUUAGAUGCCCGCAAACUCAACGCAGUUACAGUCAGAGAUGCGUAUCCAAUUCCGAUCAUGGAUGGCUUGUUAAGUAGGUUGCCGCCGGUUCACUGUAUUACAAAGAUAGACCUUAAGGAUGCCUUCUGGCAGAUUAGAUUAGACCAAGAAUCUCGUGCGAAAACAGCUUUCACAGUACCAAAUAGGCCGCUUUAUCAGUUUAAAAGAAUGCCGUUUGGAUUGACAAACGCGCCACACACGAUGAGUCGGUUGAUGGACAUAGUAAUUCCGUAUCAACUCAAAUCUCAUGUGUUGGUAUAUCUUGAUGACUUAUUGGUGCUUUCAAACAACUUUGAAGACCACUUGCUACAUUUAUCGGAAGUUGCUCUUCAAUUACACAAGGCCGGACUGACAAUAAACAUGCAGAAGAGUCAGUUCUGUCUGAAACGGGUGGACUACCUUGGGUAUCUUGUGGGUGAGGGGACGCUUCAAGUUAAUUCAGAGAAAGUGCGAGCCGUGGAUGAAUUUCCGAUACCGAAGACUCAAAAGCAACUAAGGAGAUUUCUAGGAAUGACUGGGUGGUAUCAACGUUUUAUUCCCAACUACUCUUCUGUUAUCUUUUCUCUCACCGAACUACUCCGUGGAAAGUCGUAUGAAUGGAAUGAAAAGGCACAAGCAGCGUUUGAUGAUGUCAAGAGUAAAUUAUGCUCAGCUCCAUUUUUAAUUCAUCCCAAUUACGACAAGCCUUUUGUAGUUCAAUGCGAUGCAUCUCUUCAUGGGGUAGGUGCAGUUUUAGCCCAAUGUGAUGACUCAGGUUGCGAGCGUCCGUUAGCUUACAUGUCCAAGAAGCUGAACAAGGCUCAGCGAAACUACACGGUAACGGAACUCGAAUGCUUGGCGGUAGUACUGGCCAUAAAAAAAUUCCGCAUGUACAUCGAUGGUCAUCCCUUCAAAGUUGUUACGGAUCAUGCAAGCCUCCGUUGGCUUAUGAACCAGUCAGAUCUCAGCGGUAGAUUAGCCAGAUGGGCACUAAAAUUACAAGGUUACUCGUUCGAAAUCGAGCAUAGGAAAGGAAGCGAAAAUGUAGUGGCUGACGCUUUGUCUCGUUCAUUCGAAGGUGUUACGGAAGUAGCGGUUUUGGAAUGCGAAGUGUUACCGGAAAUCGAUAUAAAGUCGGAUGCGUUUCAGUCGCCGGAGUAUCGAUCACUCAGAGAGAAAUUCGUGCUUUCCAAACUCCCAGAUUUUCAAGUAAUCGACGAUUACAUAUAUUAUCGUACAGGGUUUUCCGUGUUGGAUUCUGACCAAGCCGAUGAGUCGUGGAAAUUAUUUGUUCCCGAAGCCUUGAGACAGGGCGUAAUUAAAGCUGCGCAUGACCAACCUUCCUCUGCACAUUGUGGGAUUGCCAAAUGCCUCGACCAAAUAAGGCAACGAUUUUACUGGCCAAAAAUGGUUAUAGACGUCCGCGAUUAUAUUUCCGCAUGUGAUGUAUGCCAGACCACAAAACAUCCCACACGCUCUCUCAAACCUCCUAUGGGCGCUAGAGUAGUUAGCGAACGUCCCUUUCAACGGUUGUACAUCGAUUUCAUUGGUCCCUUUCCUCGAAGCAGAAAGGGCAACAUAGGAAUAUUUAUCAUCCUGGAUCACUUCUCAAAAUUUACCUUCUUAAAGGCGGUCAAGAAAUUUACUUCCCAGAUAGUGAUUGACAUAUUGAGGGAAGAGAUAUUUUCAUGUUAUGGAGUGCCGGAAGUGCUAGUGAGCGAUAACGGUACGCAGUUUAAAAGUAGUGAUUUUUCUAAAUUCCUUUUGAAGUACGGUGUUCAGCACUUAUGUACAGGGGCGUAUGCUCCACAGUCGAAUGCCGCGGAAAGGGUUAACCGAUCGAUUAAUGCCGCGCUCAGAGCGUACGUUCGUACUGACCAUCGUGAAUGGGAUGUGUUCCUUAGUAGCAUAAACUGUUCGUUGAGAAAAUCAAUACACCAAUCAGUUGGCAUGGCACCAUAUUUUGUGGUCUUUGGUCAGCACAUGAUUUCACAUGGCCAAGAUUACAAAAUGUUGCGAGAAGUCGAAUUACUCAACGAGGGUGAGGGAAAAUUGUCAAGAGCUGACGAAUUUCAGAAGAUUCGCUCAAACAUCGAGAAACACCUGACAAAAGCUUACGAGAGAAAUCAACGCACUUACGACCUGAGAUCCAAGCCUCGUUCGUUUGAGGUAGGUCAAGAAGAAGAGAAAUUUUUCUUUGAGUAGCGCGGCCAAUAACGUUAACGCUAAACUAGCUCCAGUUGGAGUGAAGGCUCGCGUAAAGCAGAAAUGUGGCCAACUGAUUUAUCUACUGGAAGACUUGAACGGUAAAGAGCUGGGGAAAUUUCACAUUAAGGAUAUUUGGUAGCUAGAGACAAAAGUCUGCACCCUUCCUUGUUGUUGUUUCAGUUUUAUCUUUGGUCAAAACCCUAAGAUAAAAUCUGGCGGGGGGGUGUGAAGGUUGCAGACCAAAAACAAAAGGUUAGAAUGUUUGUUUGUUUUUGGGGAACAGUCUUCUAAUUUUAUCAAGAAAAUAUUGAACCUCCCCCACUGUACGCAUUCCAGCGAGAGCCCACAUGCAAGAUCAGAAGCUGUUAUCUUGAAAAGCUCUCUCUUUCGAAAUUGCAUGUGCGAGCACCGUUCACAUGUGAGCUUUUCUCUCUUCAAACAUAGCUUACGGCUAGCCCUUCGAGAACCUUCUUAGCUCUCUCAUACACAGCUUUUGGAGGGGUAAAAUAGUUAGGCUAAGUGCAUGCUGCACAGAACAAAAAUUGCAUUCAAGGUUUGAAGACUUAAUUGAUGUGCGUGUAGAAAAUAUACAAAAACAAAAAAAAACGUGGUGAAAAGUUUGCAAAACCAUAAAAGGGAACAUAACCCAAAUAAAAAAACAAUAUAAAAGUGUUGUGGCUGCAAGACGAAACAAAAAAACCAACCCCUGGAUAAGGUACGCCAAGAGAAAAAAAAAUGAAAAAGUGACCUUAUUACAUAAUUCCAUGUAUGUACUGUACAUAGGUUUUGAUCCACGUGUGGCAGGAAAUUGCUGACCUGGCCUGACCCUCGGUCUCGGAGGGGGGGUCCGCUCCAGUACCACGAUCAUCCGUCCCUCUUUUUGGUGCCACCGGACCUUGCCUGCAGGCGAAAAAAACGGAUGGACCUGGCGAUCGGGACCGAGUUGUUUAUAUACAUAUAUCUCACGCGCAACUAUAAAACCAUCUUUAUAUAUUAUAUCACCGCGCCUUGUGUAAAGAAUUGUUGGUGCUUGCAUAUGUAGGGUGUGGAAAAAUUAGCUCAGCGGUCAUUGCCCUUGCGGCUGACCAUACACCUAUGCGCACUUAAAUAGACCCACCUGACCGUAUGUCACCUAUUCUCUCCUUCUCUCAGGUUAUUAAAAUUGUUCGAUGCCGACAUUCUAAAAGCCACUUAAGGGAAGAAAAGUAAAUCACAAAAUCUAGAAAAGAAAAUGUAAUGAAAAAUUAUGGAUAGAAAAAAAAAUAGAGAAGAAAAUUGUUCAAUAAUAUUAAAUAUUCCUAGACAUUAACUUAGAAUAGAAGAAGAAAAACAUGAAAUUUAUGCGUAGUUAAUAAUAGAUUCUAAAGGGUGCAUCAUCGGUCUCAUUGUGUCCAUGGAAGGGUAUUGGUAAAAUACCUCUUCAUAACGCUUCUUGUUAUUUUGCAUAUUUCUACAUUUCUUUAACAGUUAGAACGUGAAAUUGGGCCCAACGACACCAACAGCUGUUUAAAAGUCUGUAAGUAGACACA
This 4524-nucleotide long non-coding RNA is filed under the name Drosophila guanche. Lineage: Eukaryota; Metazoa; Arthropoda; Insecta; Diptera; Drosophilidae. The record is from RNAcentral.